Molecule: ribosomal RNA, 468 nt
Filed under: uncultured bacterium
Lineage: Bacteria
Description: partial 16S ribosomal RNA
Rfam family: Bacterial small subunit ribosomal RNA
Source: RNAcentral
GACGAACGCUGGCGGCGUGCUUAAUACAUGCAAGUCGAACGGAAAGGUCCUGCUUUUGUUGGGUGCUCGAGUGGCGAACGGGUGAGUAAAACGUGAGUAACCUGCCCUUGACUUUGGGAUAACUUCUGGAAACUGGGGCUAAUACCGGAUAUGAGCUCCUGCUGCAUGUUGGGGGUUGGAAAGUUUCGGCGGUUGGGGAUGGACUCGCGGCUUAUCAGCUUGUUGGGGGGGUAGGGGCUUACCAAGCCUUUGACGGGUAGCCGGCCUGAGAGGGUAGCCGGGCUCAAUGGUACUGAGAGACGGCCCAGAAGCCUACGGGACGCAGCAGGCGAGAAUAUUGCGGAACGGGCGGAAGCCUGAUGCAGCAACGCUGCGAGCGGGAUGACGGGUUACGGGUUGUAAACAGAUUUCGACUGUGACGAAGCGGGAGUGACGGUAAUGGAUAAAGAAGCACCGGCUAACUACGUG